UCCAGACUCCUACGGGAGGCAGCAGUAGGGAAUUUUCGUCAAUGGGGGAAACCCUGAACGAGCAAUGCCGCGUGAGUGAAGAAGGCCUUCGGGUCGUAAAGCUCUGUUGUAAGAGAAAAACGGUAAUGAUAGGGAAUGAUCAUUAAGUGAUGGUAUCUUACGAGGAAGCCACGGCUAACUACGUGCCAGCAGCCGCGGUCAUACGUAGGAUCCGAGCAUUAUCCGGAGUGACUGGGUGUAAAGAGUUGCGUAGGUGGCAUAAUAAGUAGCUAGUGAAAUCUGGUGGCUCAACCAUUCAGACUAUUAGCUAAACUGUUAAGCUCGAGGCCGUUAGGGGUAACUGGAAUUUCUAGUGUAGGAGUGAAAUCCGUAGAUAUUAGAAGGAACACCAAUAGCGUAGGCAGGUUGCUGGGACGGUUCUGACACUAAGGCACGAAAGCGUA
RNAcentral lists this ribosomal RNA (443 nucleotides) under uncultured bacterium. RNAcentral describes it as "bacterial SSU rRNA". It matches the Rfam family "Bacterial small subunit ribosomal RNA", at positions 330 to 763 of the family's 1533-position model. The record is from RNAcentral.